UUUUUUUUUUUUUUUUUGUCCCCCUCAGGAUUGCUUUGGCAAUUCUGGGUCUUUUAUCCAUAUAAAUUUUUGGAUUGUUUGUUCUAGUUCUGUGGAAAAUGUUAUGGGUAAUUUGAUAGGAAUCACAUUAAAUCUGUAGAUUGCUUUGGGUAGUAUGGCCAUUUUAACAAUUGUUAUCCUUCCAAGCCAAGAGCAUGGGAUAUAUUUCCAUUUUUAUGAAUCCUAAUUGAUUUCUUUUAUAAAAGUUUUAUAGGGAGUUGCUGUCAUGGCUCAGUGGAAACGAAUCUGACUUAUAUCCAUGAGGACUUGGGUUCGAUCCCUGGCCUCGCUCAGUUGGUUGAGAAUCCCAUGUUGCCAUGAGCUGUGGUGUAGGUUGAAGAUGUAGCUCAAAUCUGGUGUUGCUGUAGCUGUGGUGUAGGCCAGCAGCCACAGCUCUGAUUUGACCCCUAGCCUGAGAACCUCUAUGUGCUACAGGUGUGGCCCUAAAAAGAUACACACAAAAAAGGUUUUAUAGUUCUCAGUGUAUAAGUCCUUUAUCUCUUUGGUCAGGUUUGUUCUUAGGUAUUGUUUUUGUUUUGGUGAGAUUUUAAAAGAUAUUAUUUUUUACAUCCCUGUUCUAAUAUUUCAUUGUUAGUAUACAGAAAUACAGCUGAUUACUGAAUAUUAAUCUUGUAUCCUGCUACUUUGCUUAAAUUGUUUAUCAGAUUGAACAGUUUUUUUGUUGGCUUCUUAACAGUUAUCUAUGAAUGGUUUAAGAAGUUGUGGUGCAUACACUCAAUAGAAUACUACUCAGCUAUAAAAAGAACAAAAUAGUACUAUUUGCAGCAGCUCAUAGUAAGUGAGGUAAGUCAGAAAGAGACUACAUAUGAUAUUAUUUAUAUGUGGACUCUAAAAUAUGGCACCAAUGAACCCAUCUAUCUACAAAACAGAACAAAACUCACAGAUAUGGAAAAAAGACUUGUGGUUGCUAAGGGGGAGUGAGGUGGGAGUGACAUGGACUUGGAAUUUGAUAUUAGUAUAUGCAAACUAUUAUAUUUAGAGUGGAUAAGCAAUAAGAUCCUACUGUACAGCACAGGGAACUAUAUUCAAUCUCCUGGGACAGACCAUGAUGGAAAAUAAUAUUAAAAAAAGAAUGUGUAUAUGUGUGGAUAAGUCACUUUGCUGUACAGUAUAAAUUGGCAAAACAUUGUAAAUCAACUAUAUUCUAAUUUAAAAAUAUUAAAAAAUAAAAUAUUUGACAAUGCAAUUUUUUGUAGUUUAUGUAGUUCAGAUAUAGCUGUAUUCAUUAACAAUGAACUGAAAGGAAAUUUUCCUGCAGAGUACCCACAUGUUCAGAUUAACCUUAUACUAAAAAUAACUGCCAUGUUAGCAGUAUCUGAGCAUUUAUCAAAAGACUGAUAAAUACUGAAAUAAUUUAUUAGUUCUAUGACUUAGUUUGACAUAUAAUUCAUUAUAUACUGUAGCUGUGUUGUCAUUAGAAAGUAUUGCUUAAUUUUUUUGCACAGAUUUAUCCAGUAUUUGCAACCAUCUCUUACUAACGUAAUCUUUAACCAAUCGUGUCAGGCAUUUCAUAUGGCUAUUUAAUCUUAACAAAUUUCAGUGCUGCUUUAAAAGAAGCCUAAAAAGGACUAAUAUUUAUAUGUGAAAUAUUAAGCAUAUACCUGUAAAAUUAUUCAUCAGUAUCCCUCCUUUUGAAGAAUUACUUGUUUUGAACUUAUGUCCUUACAUUUUGUAUGCAAGUCUAAGUUUUCAGAACUGCAUUGUUUUAUUAGCCAGUACAUUGCCAUAAAGAAUAAACUAUUGCUUUAGCAUUUCAUCAUCAAAUAAAACUACAAAGCUGAAUAUAAUAUAUAAGGAAUCAUACAUGUGAGUAAAAAUACUAACAAUAAUUAAUUUGUUUGGAAUAUUUUUCAUCAUUUGAUUUAUGAUUCCUGCCACAUCCAGAAAAGAUCUUUUUCUUAAAAAAUAGUCAGUGAAGGGAGUUCCUGUUGUGGCACAGUAGAAAUGAAUCUGACUAGUAUCCAUGGGGGUGUGGGUUUGAUCCCUGGCCUUGCUCAGUUAGUUGGGGAUCCAGCAUUGCUGUGACUGUGGUGUAGCCCAGAAGCUUCAGCUCCAGUUCAAGCCCUGGCCUGGGAACUUCCACAUGCUGUGGGUACAGCCCUAAAAAGCAAAAAAAAAAAAAAAAAAGUCAAUGAAAAUAUGUCCCAACCUUGAGAGUUAAAACUUAGUAAUAUAAAUAUCAUCUCCAUAAUUUAACAGCUUUGAAUCAUAAGUUAUAAAGGUUUGAUUUAAAAUAAAAUGGUUGUGAAAGAUACAGUUUUAGUGUCCUAAAUACAGAUGUUUUAAAUAUUCAUUUCUGGGUUAUAGUUGAGAAACUAAUAAAAUAUUGUUGAAAAUUAAAAAUACAACUGCUCUCUGAUCAAGCAAUCACAGGUUUAGAUCCAUAUCUGAGGGAAAUAAAGUCUCUGUCUCACAGAGAUAAUUGCAUUACCAGGUCCAUUGCAGCAUCAAGGGUAGUAGCAAAGACAUAUAAACAGUCUUAAGUGCCCAUCAACAGAUGAAUGAACAAAGAAAAUGUGACCUAUAUAAAAUGUAUAUUAUUCUGCCAUAAAAAAGAAGGAUAUCCUGCCUCUUUGAGAAAACACGGACAAACUAGAUGACAUUUUGCUAAGUGACAUAAGCCAGACAAAGACAAAUACUGCACAUGCUCACUUAUAUAUAGAAUCUAAAAAAAUGAAAUUAAAAAAAUAGAAAAGUGGUUGCUAGGGGAUGGGGGAAAUGGAGAGAUGUUGAACAAAGAGUACAGAUUUCUAGCUGUAAGAUGUAUUGGUUCUGAAAUCUAAUAUACAGCCUGGUAACUACAUUGAAUAACACUGUAUAAUGUACUUGAAAGGUGUUAAGAGAGUAGAAUUCACAAAAACAAGAAUUAGGAGAUAUAGGUGUUAGCUAUAUAUGAUAAUCUUUUCCUAAGAUAUGCAUGUAUCAAAUUAUCACAUUGUACACCUUAAAUUUAUGUCAUAUGUCAGUAAUAUCUCAGUGAAGCUGGAAAUUACCACUUGAUGAAACAUGAUCUUAUAUUUUUAUAAUUAGCAUGCAACUCUGAAUAUGUAAGACUGAUCACAUGACUUGAGCAGUCCUACCCUUUCCAAACAGACAAGUCCUCCAGCCACUCACCUGGAUGUCACAGCAAGUUUGAUUUGCUCUAAUAAUUUCAGAACACUUUCAGUUUUUUGUAUCUUUCUGGUUAUGGAUCAGCAACAAAGAGCUCGAAUACUUUGAACAGCAGCACAGAGUGUCUGUCUCCCCACACUCUUACUAAUGAUAGGUUUAGUAAUUUUUCUCAUCUUUGGUGGUCAAUUAAGUAAAUAAAAUAUCUUGCAUUUUAAUUUGAGUUUCUUACAUUUCUAUUAGAGAGCUCACUUUUUCUUUAUUUUUUAAUCUUUUAUUUAUGUGUAUAUUUUUUCUACUGUAAAGCAUGGUGACUCAGUUACACUUAACAUGUAUACAUUCUUUUUUCUCAUAUUACAUGUUCCAUCAUAAGUGACUAGAUAGAGUUCCCAGUGCUACACAGCAGUAUUCCAUUGCUAACCCAUCCCGAAGGCAACAUUCUGUAUUUAUUUACCCAAGCUCCCAGUCACGCCCGCUUCCUCCCCUUCCCUCUUGGCAGCCACAAAUCUAUUCUCCAAGUCCAUGAUUUUCUUUUCUGUGGAAAGGGUCCUUUGUGCCGUAUAUUAGAUUCCAGAUAUGGGCGAUAUUAUAUGGUAUUUGUCUUUCUCUUUCUGACUUACUUCACUCAGCUCACUUUUUAAAGAAAUAUUUAGGUUUUGAGAGUAUUAUAUGUGUGUCUUUCAUGUAUCAUAAACAUUUUUCUUUUUGUAAUAUGUUCUUUCCUUUGUUUAUGUGUCUCUGACAUUAUGAAUCCAGUAAUUUGGUCUUUUACUAUAAGGAUUUAUCAUUCUUUGUUCAUGCUUUUGGGUUCUCUGCCUAAUCCAAUUCCUCACCUUGCAACUCUGAAUGCUGUAAAUGAAAGUCCACUUCCAACCCCAUUCCCAGUGAGUUAAUUUCCUAGAACUACUCUAACAACACAUGUACAACAAAAUAGGGUCCUUAAAACAACAGAAAUUUAUUCUUUGCCAUGCUGGAAGCCAUAAGUCUGAAAUCUCACUCCAAUCUCUACCCCUGUCUUCACAUGGCCAUCUUCCUACUCUGUGUGGCUGUUUCUGUGUCUCUUCUCUUUUUAUAAGGACACCAGUUUUAGGGCCCACCCUAAUCCAGUAUGACCUCAUAAUAAUUAACUAACACUUUAAAGAUUUUAUCUCCAAAUAAAGGCACAUUCUGAGGUUCUGGGAAUGACAUGAAGUUGGGGGGCACUAUUCAACACACUAGACAUAGUAUGUAUAGCAUCCAAUUAUGUAUCAUCUCCUUUGCUUACAAAGAGUUUUGCUCUUUUCAUCAAGCAUCCUAAGACCUAGUGUACUUACAUUGGUCUGUAGCCUUUUUAUUUUCAGUCAUAUGGCACACUUGGGUUGCUGUUGUGGAUAGAUGAAGGAGGAAGAGAUGAGUUCAAAGGAGCCAGGAAGGGCUAGAGGAAAGUGGGUUGUGCUCUAGAGGAAUUUUUUAAAAUUCCCUUUAAAUUACAAAAUCCUUAUUUUGUUGUUGUGUUUCACUUACUUUGAUCAGUGUAUAUCUUGCCCCCGAAGUUAGGUGCAGAGAGAGAGAGAAAACCCAUUAUAGGUCCCCAGGAACUAUCUGUCCUAUGCUAUGCUAUUUACUAUAUCACUCGGGUGAUUCAGAAAUGCACCUGACAUUCAUCUUCAUCAAUGAUACGUUAGUGAAAAUCCAUUCUGUUCUUUAAAAUGGUCACAUUCAUCCUUCUUUCAUCUUUGCCUGUGUGUCCUCUUCAUGUAAGUUUAGUGACUCCAACACCUUCAGAUCCAAGAUUCACCCUUGACAUUAACAUUUUGAUAAUAUUUGGAGAAAACUCACCCUGAUUCAAAACUCCCCAACUGAUGAUUCUGUUCUUCAGGUUGAUAAUUACCAUGCUUUUCUAUAAACUCCAGUUCUCAGCUAUUCUUGGUCUUGACUCCUCCUAGCUAUUCUGCUGCAUUCAUGCAAAUUCACCUUAACCACAUUUACAACCAGGACAUUAUUAGAGCAGAGGUGGAAGCAAGGCAAAAUCCACAGAGCACAGAGGUGAGACCCAAAUAUUAAAAAUGUUCUUAAAAUGUUGGGAUUAUUCCAUUUUCAGUGAAUUUGCCUGCAUCUAUGAGUGGACAUUACAUUUAACCCCCCAAGGCUUUGUUUCCUUAUUGUGGGAUCGGAGGACUGAAUUAUUUGAGGUCUAAUGUUCUGUUGAAUAAUAGCUCUAUCAUCCUAUGAGAGCUAUGCUUGUCAAAAAUCAGACCCCUUUUUUUUUAUUGGGUCUUUUUAGGGCCACACCUGUGGUAUAUGGAGGUUCCCAGGCUAGGGGUUUUAUUGGAGCUAUAGCUGCUGGCCUACACCACAGCCAAAGAACUGCUGGAUCCAAGCCACGGAUAUGUGACAUACACCACAGCUCAUGGCAACAUCGGAUCCUUAAUCCACUGAGCAAGGGCAGGGAUCGAACCUGCAACCUCAUGGUUCCUAGUCAGAUUCACUUCCACUGUGCCAUGAUGGGAACUCCCCCAAAUCAGAUACAUUUUGUUAGGUAAAAUCAUAAUUUUCUGACAUCAAGGAUUAAAAGCUAGAACUGAUUACUUGAGGAGGCUGAAGUACCCACAUUGAGAGUCUUGCAAACAGCGUAACUGUCUAGUAUGACUUAAGCAAUAGUCUACUUGAAGACGUCAUGCUUUUUUUUAAACUAAACCUCUAAUGUUAAAAUUUGCCAUUUCCUUCAUUGCUGUCACUUUGAAUGUAACUCAAAGUGGUCAUUUCUAGUCAAAUGUAUUUAUUAUUCUAAAUAUUAUUGGAAUGACAGAACUUAUUUUAAUUAGGGAAGAGCACCAGUAUUUGUGAUGGACC
RNAcentral lists this long non-coding RNA (6000 nucleotides) under Sus scrofa (pig). RNAcentral's name for it is "lncRNA (ENSSSCG00015026569.1)". Lineage: Eukaryota; Metazoa; Chordata; Mammalia; Artiodactyla; Suidae. The record is from RNAcentral.